Molecule: ribosomal RNA, 274 nt
Filed under: uncultured bacterium
Lineage: Bacteria
Description: partial 16S ribosomal RNA
Rfam family: Bacterial small subunit ribosomal RNA
Source: RNAcentral
AUACGGGGGGUGCAAGCGUUAAUCGGAAUUACUGGGCGUAAAGCGCGCGUAGGCGGUUUGCUCAGUCGGAUGUGAAAGCCCAGGGCUCAACCUUGGAACUGCAUACGAUACUGGUAAACUAGAGUGUGAGAGAGGAUAGUGGAAUUUCCGGUGUAGCGGUGAAAUGCGUAGAUAUCGGAAGGAACAUCAGUGGCGAAGGCGACUGUCUGGCUCAACACUGACGCUGAGGUGCGAAAGCGUGGGUAGCAAACAGGAUUAGAUACCCUAGUAGUCC